This 215-nucleotide ribosomal RNA is filed under the name Acanthamoeba genotype T4. RNAcentral describes it as "partial 18S ribosomal RNA". It matches the Rfam family "Eukaryotic small subunit ribosomal RNA", at positions 945 to 1081 of the family's 1831-position model. The record is from RNAcentral. Lineage: Eukaryota; Discosea; Longamoebia; Acanthamoebidae.
GCGAGCAUCUGCCAAGGAUGUUUUCAUUAAUCAAGAACGAAAGUUAGGGGAUCGAAGACGAUCAGAUACCGUCGUAGUCUUAACCAUAAACGAUGCCGACCAGCGAUUAGGAGACGUUGAAUACAAAACACCACCAUCGGUGCGGUCGUCCUUGGCGUCGGUUUCGGCCGGCGCGGGGGCGGCUUAGCCCGGUGGCACCGGUGAAUGACUCCCCU